UCGAGAAUUUUUCACAAUGAGCGAAAGCUUGAUGGAGCGACGCCGCGUGGGGGAUGAAUGGCUUCGGCCCGUAAACCCCUGUCAUUUGGGAACAAACCCUCAUGUCUAACACAUGUGAGGCUGAUAGUACCGGAAGAGGAAGGGACGGCUAACUCUGUGCCAGCAGCCGCGGUAAUACAGAGGUCCCAAGCGUUGUUCGGAUUCACUGGGCGUAAAGGGUGCGUAGGCGGUCGGGUAAGUCUGAUGUGAAAUCUCCAGGCUCAACUUGGAAACUGCAUUGGAUACUAUUCGGCUAGAGGAAUGGAGGGGGGACUGGAAUUCUCGGUGUAGCAGUGAAAUGCGUAGAUAUCGAGAGGAACACCAGUGGCGAAGGCGAGUCCCUGGACAUUUCCUGACGCUGAGGCACGAAAGCUAGGGGAGCAAACAGG
This 428-nucleotide ribosomal RNA is filed under the name uncultured bacterium. RNAcentral describes it as "bacterial SSU rRNA". It matches the Rfam family "Bacterial small subunit ribosomal RNA", at positions 355 to 776 of the family's 1533-position model. The record is from RNAcentral.